AAGCCCUCUCCGCCAAAGCCCUACAUUGACUUGAACAUCUUCAUCGAGAUCUUUCUCAGAGACGACUUUUUUAAUCCGAAGCUUAGGUCAUUUAUGAAUGGAUAAGGAGUGGAUACGUCUGCCUUCAAGUGGGAGAAGAUUCCAAUACCUACUAGGGCAUAUGAUACCAAUAGCUGGAGUUCUAAGUGCACACGUCGUUGAAAAAUCUUCUCCGGUGACACCUAAGCUUAUUCAAGCUGUUUUGGCAAGGAAUCCUAUUGUUCUCAGUGACUGGCUUAAGUUGGGAGGCAUCAAGCCGAUCAAACUUUAAUUGUAAAAGCACAGAAGAUUAGUGAGUGCCCCUCCAUGUCAAAAUACUACUUUUCUGUUAUAUUAUGACAUCCUAUGAUGUAUGUUCUCUUGUAUGCAAGACGAUUUCAUGUGCUAUUUAAUUAUCCAAGGUUAGUAAUUAUCUAUGAUUUAUCUCUUUUA
Long non-coding RNA from Zingiber officinale, 471 nucleotides. RefSeq lists it as uncharacterized. The record is from RefSeq and is a predicted model, not a curated record. The transcript has 4 exons. Lineage: Eukaryota; Viridiplantae; Streptophyta; Magnoliopsida; Zingiberales; Zingiberaceae.